UACGAACCGUACGAACGUUAUUCGGAAUCACUGGGCUUAAAGGGUGCGUAGGCGGCGCUGAAAGUUGGGUGUGAAAUCCCUCGGCUCAACCGAGGAACUGCAUUCAAAACUACAGUGCUUGAGGGAGACAGAGGUGAGCGGAACUUAGGGUGGAGCGGUGAAAUGCGUUGAUAUCCUAAGGAACACCCGUGGCGAAAGCGGCUCACUGGGUCUCUUCUGACGCUGAGGCACGAAAGCUAGGGGAGCGAACGGG
Molecule: ribosomal RNA, 253 nt
Filed under: uncultured bacterium
Lineage: Bacteria
Description: partial 16S ribosomal RNA
Rfam family: Bacterial small subunit ribosomal RNA
Source: RNAcentral